This 252-nucleotide long non-coding RNA is filed under the name Capsella grandiflora. RNAcentral describes it as "long non-coding RNA (CGRA_LNC001635)". The record is from RNAcentral. Lineage: Eukaryota; Viridiplantae; Streptophyta; Magnoliopsida; Brassicales; Brassicaceae.
UUGAAGCUACCAUUCACAUCAUACUUACCUUGGAGAUCGAGUUUGUAGGCGUUGUUGUUGAUUCGUUUAAGCACUUUGAAUGGUCCAUCGAUUCUUGGCAUUAGCUUUGCUGUUCUUCCGGGAAAUGUUCUUUCCUAAGAUGAACCCACACUUGAUCGCCUUCGUUGAAGAUGACUUCUUUUUGGCCUUUGUUCGCGUACUUCUCAUAAAGCUUCGUCCGGGCUUCAAGAUUCUCCUUAGUCUUCUUGUGAA